RNAcentral lists this transfer RNA (71 nucleotides) under Bulleidia extructa. Its description in RNAcentral is "tRNA-Gly". It matches the Rfam family "tRNA". From Rfam's summary of the family: Transfer RNA (tRNA) molecules are approximately 80 nucleotides in length. Their secondary structure includes four short double-helical elements and three loops (D, anti-codon, and T loops). RNAcentral also lists the same sequence under 3 other names. Lineage: Bacteria; Bacillati; Bacillota; Erysipelotrichia; Erysipelotrichales; Erysipelotrichaceae. The record is from RNAcentral.
GCAGGCGUGAUUCAAUGGUAGAAUGUGACCUUCCCAAGGUUAAUACGCGAGUUCGAUUCUCGUCGCCUGCU